This 865-nucleotide ribosomal RNA is filed under the name uncultured bacterium. Its description in RNAcentral is "bacterial SSU rRNA". It matches the Rfam family "Bacterial small subunit ribosomal RNA", at positions 50 to 893 of the family's 1533-position model. The record is from RNAcentral.
AACACAUGCAAGUCGAACGCGAAAGUCCCGCAAGGGAUCAGUAGAGUGGCAAACGGGUGAGUAACGCGUGGGCGACCUACCUUCGAGUGGGGGAUAACCUUCCGAAAGGAGGGCUAAUACCGCAUGACAUCUCGUGUUUAGAUACACGGACAUCAAAGCCGGGGAUCGUAAGACCUGGCGCUUGAAGAGGGGCCCGCGUCCGAUUAGCUAGUUGGUGAGGUAACGGCUCACCAAGGCUCCGAUCGGUAUCCGGCCUGAGAGGGCGGACGGACACACUGGGACUGAGACACGGCCCAGACUCCUACGGGAGGCAGCAGUGGGGAAUUGUUCGCAAUGGGCGCAAGCCUGACGACGCAACGCCGCGUGGAGGAUGAAGACCUUCGGGUCGUAAACUCCUUUCGAUCGAGAUGAAGACCUGCGGGCCUAACACGCCCGCGGAUUGACAGUAUCGGGAGAAGAAGCCCCGGCUAACUCCGUGCCAGCAGCCGCGGUAAUACGGGGGGGGCAAGCGUUGUUCGGAAUUACUGGGCGUAAAGGGUUCGUAGGUGGCUCGCUAAGUCACACGUGAAAUCCCUCAGCUUAACUGGGGAACUGCGUGUGAGACUGGCAAGCUCGAGUGCAGGAGAGGAAUGCGGAAUUCCAGGUGUAGCGGUGAAAUGCGUAGAUAUCUGGAGGAACACCGGUGGCGAAGGCGGCAUUCUGGACUGCAACUGACACUGAAGAACGAAAGCCAGGGGAGCAAACGGGAUUAGAUACCCCGGUAGUCCUGGCCCUAAACGAUGAAUGCUUGGUGUGGCGGGUAUCGAUCCCUGCCGUGCCGUAGUUAACGCGUUAAGCAUUCCGCCUGGGGAGUACGGUCGCAAGG